UUAUCUGCUUAGAAUGGGAAGAGUACAUUUGUAAGACCAUCAGAGAGAAAAAUCAAAGAUGCCUACUAGUAAGGUAUCUUUUGCUGAGAGAUUUUUUUGGUACGAAAAAUGGAAGGUCGCCCUGGAGCUGCUUUUCUGAAAUUUUUAUAUUAGUAAGAAAAGCCGGUUACAUAACCGUUACAUAAAUGAAGUGUGCUAUUUUAAUUCAUUUUUAUUAGAAUUAUAGCAAACAAAGGUGGUACCGCGAAUCAACUCUCUUCGUCCUUUGA
RNAcentral lists this non-coding RNA (269 nucleotides) under Anaerobacillus alkalilacustris. Its description in RNAcentral is "T-box sequence". It matches the Rfam family "T-box leader". Rfam says of the family: Uncharged tRNA acts as the effector for transcription antitermination of genes in the T-box leader family. T-boxes are found upstream of many aminoacyl-tRNA synthetase genes and some amino acid biosynthetic genes usually in Gram-positive bacteria. The anticodon of a specific tRNA base pairs to a specifier sequence within the T-box motif, and the NCCA acceptor tail of the tRNA base pairs to a conserved bulge in the T-box antiterminator hairpin. The record is from RNAcentral. Lineage: Bacteria; Bacillati; Bacillota; Bacilli; Caryophanales; Bacillaceae.